AAUGGCUUCUUGGUUAUGGAAUGCCCACCCCCAGCAGGUUUGACUAAUAUAAGUGCUUUUCUCAUAUAGGUCAAUACCUUUCUAUUAUCCAGCAUUUUAGUAGCAGAUUCCUGGUUGCUAAUUUAUGGUCUGCAUCAUCUGGUUUUAUUUGGACUGCCUUCAUUCUUGUAGGUUUUCUUUCAGUGAAAUUGUCUUAUUACUGAAUUUUUAAUUUUAUUCUGAAUUCUGUAAGCACAUUUGGGAUUAUCAUUUCAUAUACAAAUCCUGUAAAUUAGGGGAAGAGCAAAGCUAGAGCAAAGCUAGCUGGCAACUUGGGAAGUUGUGGGGUUACACCCACACAUUCUGGUACAACUCACCUGUAUGGCUACAUUUCCGUACAGAUACUCACCGUAUGAUGGGAAUUCAUUCUAUAUCCCAGGGACCAAAUGCAACUAUCGAGGCCUCUCUGGUCCUUGGAACUCUCCCCAGGCCACAACUCCUCCCUCCAAGCCACCCCCUUCCUUGCACCUCCAAGUGUUUUCGCCUGGCUGGAAUGUGUCCUUUGACUCUGAUCGUGCCUCUUGCUCACCUGGAUGGAAGCUAGAGAGAGGCGGGUGAGUGUGUGUGGAAACGAGAUUACAGUGGUACCUCUGGUUACGAACUUAAUUCAUUCCAGAGGUCCGUUCUUAACCUGAAACAGUUCUUAAUCUGAGGGAUCACUUUAGCUAAUGGGGCCUCCCGCUGCCGCCACCGCACAAUUUCUGUUCUCAUCCUGAGGUAAAGUUCUUAAACCGAGGUACUACUUCUGGGUUAGCGGAGUCUGUAACCUGAAGUGUUUGUAACCUGAGGUACCACUGUACUGUAUAAAGUUAACACUUACACCCAAAAGCUCCCAACCCCUGCUAUAUCCUGUAAACCUGGAUAUUUUGUAAACCUGCCAUAUCCUGGAACCCUGAACUAGAGCACUCCAGAUUGAAACAUUUGUUGUAAGUCCCACUUUAAUAAUAUUGGUCUCCCAGCAGAACACAGAAAGGUGUGCGCAGCUCAGUAAUGACUCUGCUGAUAACAGGUUUCAGGCAGGGAUUCUUUCUUAGCCCUACCUCAAGAUGUUGAGACCUUUUGCAUGCAAAGCAGAGGCUGUACCACUGAGCUACAGCACUAUCCAUAGUAUUUGCAGAUAACUUUUCUUGUGACUCAUGGAUUAGUGCUGCGUCAUGCAAAGACUUUUCCUUAUCGCCCUGCUGAAGCUUGCAAAGCAAGAGGCAAAUGGGACUAAUUUGGCUUUUGUUUCAAAGGGCACCUACAUCAGAUCAACGAGAAGAAACGUACGAACUCAAUAGGUUAACAGGAAAACAUCCACAUUCAACACAAACCGUAAAGCGCAUGACUUUUAAAAAGAUAACAACCAAGGCCUAAGUGUCUAAGUCUGAAUUUCAGAGGUUCUGAAAGCAGUGGAGGGAAUUUCAGUAUAUACCCCCUCCUGCUAGCUCAGUGUCUUUUCAUUCUAGGUGGCCUACUCUGUUGUUUAUUGCUGGUUUUCGAAAAUACAGCCAGAUUUUUUAAAAAGCACUGUACUUAUCUAUAAUUAAAGUACCAACCAGAAAAGGAAAACAAACCCUUUCCCAUCUCCUUAUACUCAGUUUAAAAAUCAGAGAUAAAACAAACUAGGAAAAAGCACUGGGCUUGUGGGGGGGGGGAUAUUAGUACACAGGAGAAUGCGUAAUCUUCUGGUUAACAAAAGGCUCACAAAGGCCCCAAUCUUGACUUAAGUUGGUUGAGGUAGGUCACUUGGCAAAGUAAGCAAUUGGAAAAAAAGAUUAUUUUUUUUACAAAAUUUUUAAAAAGGGGUUACCUCCUUCCAGGGAGCAAAUGAGAUAAUAUUGUCAGGAGCCAGAAUCAGGUGAAGGUCAGCAAUAAAAAAAAAUGUCCAACAUUUCUCCAAUGAAAAUAGGGAUGUCCCAUUCCAUAAUGAUAAUUUUACUGUUUAUACUCCACACAUCUUACCAGGUUGCUCCAGCCACUCUGGGCAGCUUCCAACAUAUAUAAAAACAUAAUAAAAUAUUAAACAUUUUUUUAAAACUUCCCUAUACAGGAUUGCGUUCAAAUGGCUCGGGGGUCAGAUAACUCCAUACCCUCCAACAUUUCUCCAAUGAAAAUAGGGACGUCCUAAGGAAAAGUGGGACAUUCUGGGAUCAAAUCAGAAACCAGGAUGGCUUCUCUAAACCAGGGAUGUCCUUGAAAAAUAGGGACACUUGAGCUGAAAUGUUAUAAGGGAAUAUGAAAAAAUGGAUUAUUAAUAGGUAAAAAUUUAAAAUUAUAAUACUUUACGAUUAACGACUAGGAUAUACAAAGAGGGGAGGGAUUUGCUGAACUAACAAACUGAACUGGAAUACAAAAAGGGAGGCGUGAGGAGGUCCGGGAAAUAAGCAAAUGAAGGAUAAGUAAUGGAAAGAAUGAAGUGUUUUUAACUAUUUUUAUUUUGCAUUUUUCUUUUUCCUUUUUCUAUACUGUAAUAUUUUGAAAACCUUAAUAAAUAUCUUAUAAAAAAAUAUCUUAUUAAAAAAAAAAUAGGAUGCCAUAGAAUCCAAUGCUGCACUGCUGCAGAGGACAAGACCCUCUGGAGAUGUAAAUGCUGUGAACUCUCCCUCCAUAAAACUCUGGUGUAAAUAUGUGUGAAUAAACCGAAUUUCUUAAAGACAAAAAAAAGAAGAAAAAAAUAGGGACACUUGGAGGGUCUGGUUUAUUCUUAAUAUUGCCAUUUUUUUUUCUUGGCAGGAAUCCUGUUCUUUUAACAGCUGCGUGACCAUCAAGAGAUUCGGAAGCACACACCUUCCUGUUCAGCAUUGCCACACAAAUAAUCAAAGGUUGGCUAUGAGUGUUGAAUAUGAUUUAUCUCUGAAUGCCUCAAAACCUUUGGUUUUGCGCUGCUAUAGACUAAUGGUAGUUUUUCAUGCCAGUAGGUGACCUGACAAUGGAGAAUUUUAGAACUUGUACAAACCAGCCCUGUUCAUUUAUAGCCCUCUAGCAGAAGAUGGCCAUAGGUCUGCUUUUUUGAACCAGAAGACCCACAUAGGGGAAAUGAUACCCAAAGCUGAAUGUGCAACACCCACUGCCUCCACUGCUUAAAGAUGUCCUUGUUUUUUGUGUGAACCAGUGACCUGCCUCAACUGUACACAAUACUAUCCAUUUCUGCCCUCCCUACCCAAUAAACCCAGAAAUUCUAUUCAAAGAA
Non-coding RNA from Podarcis lilfordi (Lilford's wall lizard), 3211 nucleotides. NCBI's taxonomy places the organism in Eukaryota, Metazoa, Chordata, Lepidosauria, Squamata, Lacertidae. The record is from the annotation of a GenBank genome assembly.